GUCGUGAGACAGGUUGGUUGCUAUCUAAUGGAAGUGUUAGUAGUCUGAGGGGAAGGUGGCUCCAGUACGAGAGGAACGAGUUGUCGGCGCCUCUGGUCGACCGGUUGUCUGAUAAGGCAAUGCCGGGCAGCUACGCGCUGGACGAUAAAGGCUGAAAGCAUCUAAGCCUGAGGUGUCCCCUGAAAAUAGACUGCUUUAGAACACGAGUAAAAGACUUGUUUGAUGGGGUAGGGAUGUAAGCUUCGAGGUUUUCCGAGUUGUUUAGUCCGCUGCUCCCAACUGUUCGCUUGCUUUGUUUU
RNAcentral lists this ribosomal RNA (299 nucleotides) under Methanobrevibacter sp. RNAcentral's name for it is "partial 23S ribosomal RNA". It matches the Rfam family "Archaeal large subunit ribosomal RNA", at positions 2687 to 2987 of the family's 2987-position model. Lineage: Archaea; Methanobacteriati; Methanobacteriota; Methanobacteria; Methanobacteriales; Methanobacteriaceae. The record is from RNAcentral.